Molecule: non-coding RNA, 76 nt
Organism: Rhinichthys klamathensis goyatoka
Lineage: Eukaryota; Metazoa; Chordata; Actinopteri; Cypriniformes; Leuciscidae
Source: the annotation of a RefSeq genome assembly
GAGGGGAUAGCUCAGUGGAAGAGCGCAUGCUUCGCAUGUAUGAGGUCCUGGGUUCAAUCCCCAGCAUUUCCAAGCA